AGCUUUUACGUGGUAUCAGUACUUUUCUCUCAUUAAGGGAAAGUGUGAGAAAAGUAGCAAGCAUUAGUAGAAUUAUAAACUUAAAAUAGACAGGUCUGAGGGACUGAACGUGUAUUUUCACUUCACUUCAUCAUCCAAGAAGUUGAAUCACUUGGUGUGUCUAUUUCAUUGCCUUUAAGUGAAAGAGUGGUACCCAAGCAAU
This 202-nucleotide non-coding RNA is filed under the name Tupaia belangeri chinensis (Chinese tree shrew). Its description in RNAcentral is "Tupaia chinensis (Chinese tree shrew) Connexin-43 internal ribosome entry site (IRES)". It matches the Rfam family "Connexin-43 internal ribosome entry site (IRES)". From Rfam's summary of the family: This family represents the connexin-43 internal ribosome entry site (IRES) which allows cap independent translation during conditions such as heat shock and stress. Lineage: Eukaryota; Metazoa; Chordata; Mammalia; Scandentia; Tupaiidae. The record is from Rfam by way of RNAcentral.